Long non-coding RNA from Gasterosteus aculeatus aculeatus (three-spined stickleback), 1057 nucleotides. NCBI's taxonomy places the organism in Eukaryota, Metazoa, Chordata, Actinopteri, Perciformes, Gasterosteidae. The record is from Ensembl.
GGUGCAGCCACUUGCUCGCAGGAUAUUCGCAGUUUUUUUUCUUAUUAAAAACACAGCGAAGUCUCAGAUGUCGGAGGUACCUGUGUGGCACAUAAAUAUACAACAACAACAACAAGCGAGGCACACAGCUUCCCCGGAGAGGACUCUUUUUAACCGGAUAAAGAAAGCCGUGGCAUUGAGGCAAAAAACUGCCUUCAAGGAGAAAGCACCACCGGAGGGUUGCUACGGGGAGUAGUUUAAAAAAAACAUCAUCUGAAAUACGAGACAGCGAGUCCACUACAGGUUCACUCAAGGCCUGAAAACCAAUAAGCCAUCAGCAACAUUAUCAGCAGCGCUGACUUUUCUUCUGCACCGUCAGUGAGAGAGACGCUCAAAGACGACGUUGACAUCCUGAGGAAGAAAAAAAGACGCCCCGCGGCGAAAGCAGCUCAGACGCCUCGACAUUGGAACCUCUGCUGCCAGAUAGGACGGGGACGGAUGGCUGUCGUCCACACGGCGCUGCAAUUAGGAGGCACAAGCGGCCGCCGCGUGUUUCCUUGACAGCAGCCAAUCCCACUUCCACCUACAACACCAUCCAACGCUGCAGCCAACGAUCCAGGGGCGGGUUCGAGCACGCCGCCGGCAGCGGCAGCGGCAGCGCCUCCGUCUGAAUGUGAUACGCGCUCAACGGGCCUCUGCGACUCAGGAGAACGUGAAGGCUCGACUGACGGCUCAAACAAUGAGCUUCAUCCAUUUGUCACACCGACGGUCUGGGUGCGUUUCCAUUUCUUCCCCCAGUAACAGAGAUGAGAUGGUGGAACAGAACCUCAGCGUUGAAAAGGUGCCUUUUGCCCCCCAACGAUUCAACUAAAACGGCUACGAUUGAAAAUGUAAAGGCAAAAAACACGCGAUGAUUCAGAUAAAUUCUUUUAGAUGCAAAAGAGGGAAUAUGUUUGGACAUUCAGGGGUGGAAGGCUCUGCUUGAGAAUCUCGUAACGCAAGAAUUAACGGAAUUAAAACGGCCCAGCUCGUCGAGAUUUCCGUCAAAUUAAAAAUAAACAAGAAACGGUGACAGGCA